UGGGGAAUUUUGGACAAUGGGCGAAAGCCUGAUCCAGCAAUGCCGCGUGUGUGAAGAAGGCCUUCGGGUUGUAAAGCACUUUUGUCCGGAAAGAAAUCCUUGGCUCUAAUACAGUCGGGGGAUGACGGUACCGGAAGAAUAAGCACCGGCUAACUACGUGCCAGCAGCCGCGGUAAUACGUAGGGUGCAAGCGUUAAUCGGAAUUACUGGGCGUAAAGCGUGCGCAGGCGGUUUGCUAAGACCGAUGUGAAAUCCCCGGGCUCAACCUGGGAACUGCAUUGGUGACUGGCAGGCUAGAGUAUGGCAGAGGGGGGUAGAAUUCCACGUGUAGCAGUGAAAUGCGUAGAGAUGUGGAGGAAUACCGAUGGCGAAGGCAGCCCCCUGGGCCAAUACUGACGCUCAUGCACGAAAAGCGUGGGGAGCAAAACAGGAUUAGAUACCCUGGUAGUCCACGCCCUAAAACGAUGUCAACUAGUUGUUGGGGAUUCAUUUCCUUAGUAACGUAGCUAACGCGUGAAGUUGACCGCCUGGGGAGUACGGUCGCAAAGAUUAAAAACUUCAAAUGAAUUGACGGGGUCAUAGCUGUUUCCU
RNAcentral lists this ribosomal RNA (591 nucleotides) under uncultured bacterium. RNAcentral's name for it is "partial 16S ribosomal RNA". It matches the Rfam family "Bacterial small subunit ribosomal RNA", at positions 355 to 1375 of the family's 1533-position model. The record is from RNAcentral.